GGUGGUGCUGAGAAUUCAGCUCUGAUAGCAACGCCCAGAGUGCAGUGGAGAUGAUGUCAAUCCAUUUCCCAACCAAACACAUCCUGAGGCUUCAGUCUUGCUUGAUGUUGCUUGUUCCCUGACCUCCCUUCAUUUCUGCACAUUUUAUGAGCCUCAGUAUGUCAGCCUCCUUUCUAUUAUCUAAAGAAACUGAGAUACGGAGGUUAAUCUACUUCUGAAUCAUGUCGCAACUAACCAGCCUCCAGGAUGGUCCAGAUGAUCCUCACGUCUUGGGUGUUCACACCUUUGUGUAAUCUUCUCUUACCCUGAAUCAGGACUGGUAUGGAGGGCAUGUCACAGCCACCCCGCCCAUCAGUUCAGCUUUCUCAUCUUCAAAAGAUGCCAUGUCAUCCAUGGCAUUGCAUGCAGACAAGACAACAUGUGCUUUCCCAGAAGCCUCUCAACCGACCACCCGCACUGGUUAGAGCUGCAGUACCUGUCCAUGCCUGAACCAGUCACCAGUGAGGACAGUAGGAGACAGAAGCAGUGACUGACUCCCAGGCGUUUCUGCUUGAGGCUGAGAGACCUUUGGAGACCUUCACUAAGCCAUCUGGGGUCGGGGCCACCCUUGAACAAAAUGAGAGUUCUGGCAACAGGGAAGAUGUUGCAGAAAGGUUGGAGUGGUG
Dama dama (fallow deer) is the source of this 665-nucleotide long non-coding RNA. RefSeq lists it as uncharacterized. The transcript is spliced from 3 exons. The record is from RefSeq and is a predicted model, not a curated record. NCBI's taxonomy places the organism in Eukaryota, Metazoa, Chordata, Mammalia, Artiodactyla, Cervidae.